This 369-nucleotide long non-coding RNA is filed under the name Mustela putorius furo (domestic ferret). Its description in RNAcentral is "lncRNA (ENSMPUG00000025273.1)". Lineage: Eukaryota; Metazoa; Chordata; Mammalia; Carnivora; Mustelidae. The record is from RNAcentral.
GUUCCCUGCAAAAGUGGAGAGACUCAGGUCUGUGUCAAAGUGAUACUGCAAAAGUGAGAUAAAGAGUUCUCCUUCUGGUUGUUAAUUACCCUGCACAUUCCACAGAACUGAUGAAGUUUGCACAGAAUGGUCUGCAUAAAGCAGACGAGAUCCGUCUCUCAUCCCCUUAGAGCCCUGGGAUUUAUGGGAUCACAGAUAUCUAGACACACAUUCUGAUGCAGUGGUUGCCAGACCCAGCACUUGAAGGUGAGAAGUAGACUGAAGAAAGGGUGUAAUCCUGGAUAUAUGUUGUGCUUUUUUGUUUUUUGUUUUAUUGACCCCUGAUAGGUAGGUUGCCAAAAAAUUUGAACUUUCUCCACUUGGACAAGU